This 1526-nucleotide ribosomal RNA is filed under the name Acinetobacter sp. 1264765. Its description in RNAcentral is "bacterial SSU rRNA". It matches the Rfam family "Bacterial small subunit ribosomal RNA". The record is from RNAcentral. Lineage: Bacteria; Pseudomonadati; Pseudomonadota; Gammaproteobacteria; Moraxellales; Moraxellaceae.
AGAGUUUGAUCAUGGCUCAGAUUGAACGCUGGCGGCAGGCUUAACACAUGCAAGUCGAGCGGAGAGAGGUAGCUUGCUACUGAUCUUAGCGGCGGACGGGUGAGUAAUGCUUAGGAAUCUACCUAUUAGUGGGGGACAACAUUUCGAAAGGAAUGCUAAUACCGCAUACGUCCUACGGGAGAAAGCAGGGGAUCUUCGGACCUUGCGCUAAUAGAUGAGCCUAAGUCGGAUUAGCUAGUUGGUGGGGUAAAGGCCUACCAAGGCGACGAUCUGUAGCGGGUCUGAGAGGAUGAUCCGCCACACUGGGACUGAGACACGGCCCAGACUCCUACGGGAGGCAGCAGUGGGGAAUAUUGGACAAUGGGCGCAAGCCUGAUCCAGCCAUGCCGCGUGUGUGAAGAAGGCCUUAUGGUUGUAAAGCACUUUAAGCGAGGAGGAGGCUACUUUAGUUAAUACCUAGAGAUAGUGGACGUUACUCGCAGAAUAAGCACCGGCUAACUCUGUGCCAGCAGCCGCGGUAAUACAGAGGGUGCAAGCGUUAAUCGGAUUUACUGGGCGUAAAGCGCGCGUAGGCGGCUAAUUAAGUCAAAUGUGAAAUCCCCGAGCUUAACUUGGGAAUUGCAUUCGAUACUGGUUAGCUAGAGUGUGGGAGAGGAUGGUAGAAUUCCAGGUGUAGCGGUGAAAUGCGUAGAGAUCUGGAGGAAUACCGAUGGCGAAGGCAGCCAUCUGGCCUAACACUGACGCUGAGGUGCGAAAGCAUGGGGAGCAAACAGGAUUAGAUACCCUGGUAGUCCAUGCCGUAAACGAUGUCUACUAGCCGUUGGGGCCUUUGAGGCUUUAGUGGCGCAGCUAACGCGAUAAGUAGACCGCCUGGGGAGUACGGUCGCAAGACUAAAACUCAAAUGAAUUGACGGGGGCCCGCACAAGCGGUGGAGCAUGUGGUUUAAUUCGAUGCAACGCGAAGAACCUUACCUGGCCUUGACAUAGUAAGAACUUUCCAGAGAUGGAUUGGUGCCUUCGGGAACUUACAUACAGGUGCUGCAUGGCUGUCGUCAGCUCGUGUCGUGAGAUGUUGGGUUAAGUCCCGCAACGAGCGCAACCCUUUUCCUUAUUUGCCAGCGAGUAAUGUCGGGAACUUUAAGGAUACUGCCAGUGACAAACUGGAGGAAGGCGGGGACGACGUCAAGUCAUCAUGGCCCUUACGGCCAGGGCUACACACGUGCUACAAUGGUCGGUACAAAGGGUUGCUACCUAGCGAUAGGAUGCUAAUCUCAAAAAGCCGAUCGUAGUCCGGAUUGGAGUCUGCAACUCGACUCCAUGAAGUCGGAAUCGCUAGUAAUCGCGGAUCAGAAUGCCGCGGUGAAUACGUUCCCGGGCCUUGUACACACCGCCCGUCACACCAUGGGAGUUUGUUGCACCAGAAGUAGCUAGCCUAACUGCAAAGAGGGCGGUUACCACGGUGUGGCCGAUGACUGGGGUGAAGUCGUAACAAGGUAGCCGUAGGGGAACCUGCGGCUGGAUCACCU